CAUCGAUGAAGAACGUAGCGAAAUGCGAUACUUGGUGUGAAUUGCAGAAUCCCGUGAACCAUCGAGUCUUUGAACGCAAGUUGCGCCCGAGGCUAUCUGGCCGAGGGCACGCCUGCCUGGGCGUCAUGCCU
This 131-nucleotide ribosomal RNA is filed under the name Asparagus racemosus. RNAcentral's name for it is "5.8S ribosomal RNA". It matches the Rfam family "5.8S ribosomal RNA", at positions 31 to 154 of the family's 154-position model. Rfam says of the family: 5.8S ribosomal RNA (5.8S rRNA) is a component of the large subunit of the eukaryotic ribosome. It is transcribed by RNA polymerase I as part of the 45S precursor that also contains 18S and 28S rRNA. Functionally, it is thought that 5.8S rRNA may be involved in ribosome translocation. RNAcentral also lists the same sequence under 1 other name. The record is from RNAcentral. Lineage: Eukaryota; Viridiplantae; Streptophyta; Magnoliopsida; Asparagales; Asparagaceae.